GGGUCAGUAGGUUGGUCGUGCCACCGGUACGUACUGGUCUCACUGAUUCCUCCUUCCUGAAGAACCGUAAUGCCAUUAAUUUGGUGUUGCGGGGAAACAGGACUGUUACUUUGAGAAAAUUAGAGUGUUUAAAGCAAGCUGACGCUUGAAUACAUUAGCAUGGAAUAAUGAAAUAGGACGAUCGAUCCUAUUUUGUUGGUUUCUAGGAUUGACGUA
This 216-nucleotide ribosomal RNA is filed under the name Glomeromycotina sp. RNAcentral's name for it is "partial small subunit ribosomal RNA". The stretch from base 40 to 216 matches the Rfam family "Eukaryotic small subunit ribosomal RNA", at positions 686 to 864 of the family's 1831-position model. Lineage: Eukaryota; Fungi; Glomeromycota. The record is from RNAcentral.